GUCGAACGGGAUCCCCGCGGGUAGCAAUAUUCGCGGGGUGAGAGUGGCGGAAGGGCGAGGAGCACGUGGGCAAUCUGUCGCGGAGGCGGGGAUAGCGCCGCGAAAGUGGCGAUAAUACCGUGAUGAGGCGUCCGGGCCGCAUGGCCCGGCCGUGAAAGGCGGGGACCGCGAGGCCCGCCCCUCCGUGAGGAGCCCGCGCACCAUCAGCUAGACGGCGGGGUAACGGCCCACCGUGGCUCACGGUUAGCUGGUCUGAGAGGACGAUCAGCCGCACUGGGACUGAGACACUGCCCAGACUCCUACGGGAGGCUGCAGUCGAGGAUCAUUCGCAAUGGGCGGAAGCCUGACGAUGCGACGCUGCGUGGAGGAUGAAGGCCCUCGGGUCGUAAACUCCUGUCAUGGGGGGCGAGGCGGAGCGGGCGAACAGCCCGCCGAGUUGACG
This 442-nucleotide ribosomal RNA is filed under the name uncultured rumen bacterium. RNAcentral describes it as "bacterial SSU rRNA". It matches the Rfam family "Bacterial small subunit ribosomal RNA", at positions 61 to 474 of the family's 1533-position model. The record is from RNAcentral.